AGGAGAGUAACUACUGACCGCUUUCUAGAAUUCUUUAAUUCCGUUUUAAAGCUAAGAUACCUCCUCUAAGUCUGCUAUUCCUGAUUCUUAAUAGCACAGGAAACAGACUAGUUUGUGAUUACCCGACAUCGGAGAAUCGACAAAAGUCUCUUUUUCCUGGGAGAACUUGAAUCUUUCUAUCCUUACUUAUUCUUUGCAGCUACCGACACUGACUAAUCCUUGAAUCUAUCUAUCUCCGUAACAAUGCCGUUAAGCUUCCCUUUUAGAGAGAGGGCUUUUCCCUUUCGCUCUCGACUGAUAGAACCUUUUCGAAGAGACUUAUUCCUGCCCGCGUGCAGGAGACACGAUAAGGCCCUAUUUCCAGCCUUUUCUACCGGGAUAGAUAGGGCAAGAUACCAAUACAACCAAUAUCUCGCAAUAGGAGCCUUUCCGUAAUACUAAGAUUUAGAUUUCUUUCUGCAGCUUCUAGAGCGGACGUCGUGCCGUGCCCCCUUCUUUCUAGACUUUGUAUGAAGUGCU
RNAcentral lists this unclassified non-coding RNA (519 nucleotides) under Hevea brasiliensis (rubber tree). Lineage: Eukaryota; Viridiplantae; Streptophyta; Magnoliopsida; Malpighiales; Euphorbiaceae. The record is from RNAcentral.